RNAcentral lists this ribosomal RNA (253 nucleotides) under uncultured bacterium. Its description in RNAcentral is "partial 16S ribosomal RNA". It matches the Rfam family "Bacterial small subunit ribosomal RNA", at positions 524 to 776 of the family's 1533-position model. The record is from RNAcentral.
UACGUAGGGGGCAAGCGUUAUCCGGAUUUACUGGGUGUAAAGGGAGCGUAGACGGCAAAGCAAGUCCGGAGUGAAAGCCCGGGGCCCAACCCCGGGACUGCUCUGGGAACUGUGCGGCUAGAGUACUGGAGGGGCAGGCGGAAUUCCUAGUGUAGCGGUGAAAUGCGUAGAUAUUAGGAGGAACACCAGUGGCGAAGGCGGCCUGCUGGACAGUAACUGACGUUGAGGCUCGAAGGCGUGGGGAGCAAACAGG